This 2940-nucleotide ribosomal RNA is filed under the name Triticum aestivum (bread wheat). Its description in RNAcentral is "partial small subunit ribosomal RNA". Lineage: Eukaryota; Viridiplantae; Streptophyta; Magnoliopsida; Poales; Poaceae. The record is from RNAcentral.
UGCGUUGGAAUAGAGGGGGUCAUGAGAAAGGAGAGGAGAGGUGAGUGAGUUGGAGAGAGCGGGGAGAGGGCCAGAGGGGAGGGGGCGGCGUAGGCGACGCGCACUGGUGUUCGAGGACGGCGUUGGUGCGCUGAGACGGGUGGCUGGUGGCGUAGACAGCGUACGUAGCCACCAACGGCGUGCUGCUUCCAGUGCCGACCAGGGCGCUGCCGGAGCCGACCUCCUCCUGCUAUCCAGGUAUCGCUGCCUGCGAGUUCAUUCUCCUCGCUGGGUUACCGCCGCCGGAGCUCGUGCCCCUAUUCACGUCCGACCCCUACGUCCUCUCCACGUUGCGCCACAAACCUCGAGGGUGCUCGACCCACGCCGCGUAGGCUGCUGCUGUCUGUGUCCCUGCGCAACUAGGCCCACACCCACGAGUUAAGCCAGGGCAAGACCGGCCUAGGCACCGCCACGAGUAGAGGCCGCUCCACCGGACACUGAGCGCCCUGCUGCCGCCGCGUUCUGGUGUCCUCCCCGAGUAGAGUACCCUGUACCCGCGCUCCAGAACAACCGAAGCCAACGGCCACCGAACUGCGUCCCCACCGGCCCCAGGCCGCGGUACCUCCGAGAAGCUCCUGCUCCUUCGUCUGUCGCUGCUGUUGAAACUCCGGCCGCCCCCGCGGCAGAGGCGCAAGCUACCAGCCCCAGAUUGCGCCGGCGGCAACCGAGGUAUGGGAUGUCAAUAGUACGCCUAUUCUCUUGGUUUUUGAUGGUGUAACUAUAGACGAAGUCCUUUUUACCAAACGUGACCUCGUUUUUCACUUGUCGUUACAUUUGAGCGUCGAUCUUUCCAGUUUAUAAACUGCUACAAAAGAAGAGGGUUGGACCGUUCCUCAUUCUUCAGUCAACCUCACUCUUCACUCUGUUCAUGUUACUCGAGUUCACUAAGUAAGUGGUUCGACCAUUUGCGUAUUUGAAGUUUUUUUAGUAGAGUUAUUCAAAACCAACCGACUAUCGAACGUUCUAGAAGUAUAAGAUGUAUCUUCCACGUCACACUACACUACGUAUACCUUGACCAUAAUGAAACGUCAUACCUUGACCGCCACCCACAUACUUUACACUACCGACAUUGUAAUAUGGAUUAAAGAAUAGUCAAGUACUAUACCAACAAACUUUACACUAUGGACCUGCACUCACAGAGACCGUGCCCUAGGACCUGCGGAGGCCGCCGCCGACCACUUUCCCUAUCGGCCUAGGACCUGCAGAAGCCGCUGCCCAGGACCUUCCCUAGCCGCGGCCUAGGACCUUCGCAAGCCGCCUCCCAGGAGUUGACCUGUACGUGGCCUAGUCACCUCCGGCCUAGUCACCUCUGGUCGCCGCCUAGUCACGGUCCCGCCGUCGCUUCCCUACCUCGCCGCCGCCACUUCCCUACUUCUCGCCGCCGCCUGCUUACUCCCGUGUCUGAGCCCACAGACAAAGAGCGAGCUCCCGUGCUCUGGAGCGAGCAUGCACACCCCCUAACCAAACGCUAAAAAAAGCAACCAAUUAAAAGCGGUCCAAAAAAAAGCAACCAAUUAAAAGCGGCCAAACAAGCACAAUCUACCCACGCUUCCCUCCAAUCCGCGCACCCCCGCCUACACCCUGAGCCGGGACUCCCAAAAAGAACCAAGUAGCGCCGACUCGCCCUCCACCCUCGUCCAUGGUUUUUUCUGGUCCACUCCACCCUGCUUUUAAUUUGGGCCUUGCGCUGGAUGGUUGACUCUAUAAUCCUCAUCUCUACUUAUUAUAUUUAAUCAAUUAUUAAUUGAUACAAACUCUUUGAGUGUAUCGCCAUCUUGACCUCCGCAUAGUUGUUCCUGGGUUUACAGGUAUCACAGAACAGCUACAAUCCUAGUGGUUCUAAGUACCACUGUUCGUAUGGGAGUAGUUUUGGUAUGUAGAACGUUUUACGAAAGAUUAAAAACGUUGGUUUUACCCAAUGCGAGGAUCUUAAUAUGUCUAAAUGAAGUUUUAGGUGUAGUACUACUCAAGAAUCCACUUAAAAGAAACAAAGUAUUAUUGAAAGGUACCAGAAAUUUUAGGUAUGAGAGGUUCUGUGUCGCAGAACGUACCGUACCCUAUUCGAUAUGAGCUUAACAUUUUCUACUUUUAAUGUGCAACUUUAUCAACUUCAGUACGAAUUAGUACUUUUUUUUGUGAACAGCAGUAACACAUGGCAAAGUUGAAGCUUCCAGAGGAGUUCGAAUUACGACUUCGCGGCUAGUAGCAGGUCCACUCCGGACAGCGUGUCUGGAGCUAGCAGCACCGUGGUCGGCGUGAGGGAGCCCUCUGAAAGUAGCAGGCUACUGCUGUAAAGGAUGCAAGUAUUAAGUUUUGAUGUAGUAGAGAACGCAGGCUACUGAACACGUAAAAGUCGGUCCGGGUCAGCUCAACCGGAUUUUUGUAAAGAAAGAAAUUCGGACGAUGUAGGUAGAGUUCAUAAAUACCAGUUCCCAAUCGUACCGGUAGGUUUAUCUUCAAACACUAUAACGGAUCCACAAAACCCUACCUUGGACAAUCACACAACAACGAUCCACAAAACCCUACUUUCGUCAUCGAAGGAACGUUUGGUGUUUUCUGUUUCCUUUUCCCCACUUUUCCCCCUUUACCAAUCGAAACUACUCGUCCGUCGUAGAAGGAUUGGGGAAGAAGAACAUAGGAGAGUGAUAGAGAGAGUGUGUGUACCGUUCGUUCCCACAGACUCACACACUUUUUUUUAUGAUUUGAUUAGGUUGGUGAUUUCGUGAUCUAGUGAUGAUAACCAACUAUAGUUCUAUGUACGACUAAUUAAAAACAAAGACAACUCUUAGCCCGUGGAAGAUUCAGUUCUUUUAAUCCGUACUGGAAACGAUUAAAAGAACUGGAUCCUCACGGGGUUAGAAUUGGCUUUGCCUUUAAUUAGUUGUAAAGUCCUCUUUCCCC